AUGGACAUUUACACUCGGAUAUUUCAUUCUAUCUCAAUCCUUUUUCAAAUAAACUAUUCUCUGCCACACGUAAAUACCUAUGCCCAAAUUUCUUCAAAUCCAUGGAAUCCAUAAAAUUGAAUAUCAUUGCCCAAAAUACUCAAGUUUCAUCUCACAGUAGUUCAGUUCGCAAUGGAUUCGAAGAAAUUUGAAAGAUAUAUGUAUAUACACACACAAAGAAAUGAAGGAUUUAGGGUUUAAUCUUUGACCUUUUUGUUGUUACUUCUUCCAAUUCUCUUUACACAUCAUCAUCAUAUAUGGAUUACAUUUAAAUCCUUGAAAAAGGGUUUCAAUUGUCGUUGAUAUUGAUGUUGUUGUUAUUGUAGUUAGUGGUCGUAGUGUUAUAAUGUGAGGCUGUGAUUUUCAUUGUCGUUGAUAUUAAUGUUGUUGUUACUGUUGUUACUGGUGGUGGUAUUAUAAUAUAAGGCUGUGAUGAUUGAGGUGUGUAGAGUUCAUGGGUAACGGAGAUAUGCCUGUAGCUUGGCAGGGCAACCCAGAUUUCAACAAGAACAAUAACUCAUUCAAUUCACCUACCACUUUCUCAUAACAUCCCUUCAAUGGCUGAGUUUUGGGUUCUUUCUUAUAUUAUCUAGAGUGGAAUGAAUUGUGGGUAUGAUUUCUUUUUUUGUUAAUUUGAUUUAGGUUGGUAGAUUCUUGGUUCUGGGUUUGGUUCUAUGUAUGUAUGUGUGCUGGUAAAGACUCCAUCUUUAUGUGACUUAUUGUAUUAAUCUAAUGCUUUUCAUCAAAUGAUAGACGAUAUUCUAUAGGAAUACCCUCUCUACCUCUAUGAGGUAAUAAUAAGGUUUGCGUACAAACCCCACUUGUGGGAUUACACUACGAUGUUGAUAUUGGUUUUCCAAUGAUCAAUUUGAUGAAUAACCUUGUUGAAGAUAUUGUGUUGGAACACUACCAUUUGUUUCUACUGUUUGUUGUCUUGAUCUAAUGUAGGAAAAAUUAUUGUUUAUUGGAAAAUUGUUAUGGAAAUGAUUUAGCCAAUCAAUUAUUGUAGGUGUUGGUUAGGUAUUCUAUUUUUGUCAUUUUAAUUUUUGAUAUUAAAAAUGAUAUUGCCCUAUGCACUUUUACAAGUUUUUGUUUGUCUUGAUCUAAGUUAGGAAAGUAAUUGCUUACUAAAAGUUUCUUAUGAAAAUGAUUUACCAACUAAUCCAUAGUUAUUGAAUUACUAGUCUUUAUUAGAUGACAUUCUUGAAAUUGAAAAAUAUCAACUUGAAGCUCAAAGAUGGAGUUGUUGAUCUUAUCUUUGGUAAAUGUUCGAAGAUGGAGUUGUUGAUCUUAUCUUUGGUAAAUGUUCUAAUUGAUUAGAAUCAACAAUCAUAUAAAUUUAUGGCCUGAACUCCAUAGCCUUUUCAUGAUUCGUAUUGGUAAGAAGUUCUCGAUCCUGCACAUUUCUGGAACAAGUCUCAUUGGAUGAUUUGUGCUUAUUGAGUGCCAUCUUUCGCUCCUGUUUCGUCUCUAUAGCAUUUCUGUGAAGUUGGAUUCUAAUGUGCGUCCUCAUUUGGAUGUAUUUGGUGUUGCUUAACUGGAUUUCUUGCAACUAGUCCAAUCUGAUCUGGAUUCUUGUUCAAUUUGAAGUUAACUAUCAUGUGUCUCAUACGCAUAUCUGAUACUGUGAAGUCUUAUAAACCCCUUAAAAAUCAUCGGUAAAAGUAGGGAUGGUUUGUAUAGUUCAUUUGAUUUUUAAUUUUAGGUAUUGUAAAGGUAAUGGUUAAAAAUAUAAAUUUAUGUAGUUAGAACUCCUUGUAUGGACAUGUUAGCACAAGAGAUAAAGAAAUAAAGAAGUUGCAUCAGUUGAAGGCGUAGAAGCCUAACUAUGGCAGGUCUGUUACAUUUCUUUUUAAUGAUGAUAUUUAUGUUAGUGUGAUUUAGAGAAUUCUUGAUACCUGAAAAUUGAAGAAAUUAUGUGAUUUUGACUUUGCCAAUCGAAUAUCUCCUUAAGUGUUUACAUUAAUCAUUGGGAGUGUGGAAUUUCUAGAGUCCUAGGCCUUACCUAAAAUUUCUUCUGAGAAUUCAUGCUCUUGACAUUUGAUACAGUGAUUCCUAGUUUGACAACUAAACUGUUUAAACUUACAAUGAGUCAAAGAAAACCAUUCAAUGAUGAUCUAUAUAGUUGAAUUUUCUUUUCUCAAGUCACUGACUCCAACUUUUCCUAUGAUUGAUUCCAAAUUCUGAUUGAUCUUUAUUGUGCUAGCUAUUACUUUACCUAAAUAUUUCUUGUAUUGCAGUAACCCUCAAGAAGCUCGGUUCACAUUUGUUGGUGCUCAAGGGUGACCCUGGUGAGGCUGGGCAACCAUCUUGUGCAUCCACCCCUCUUUCAACUGCAAUAUCUUCACUUUCUCCUAUUGGAAAUACUGGAAGUUUUGCAGUCUCAGGAGUUCCAACUGUCAGAGAACUUGGUUAUGGGAGAUUUAGUAGAGUUAUGAUGUUACUGCAUUUCCAGUGAAGUCCUUCAGGACAAAGGAUUCCUUUUAAAGGCGUAUAAUCAGAAGCAUUGAAGAAAUUAUCAAUUGCUAACAAGGAAUUGUUGGAAAAUUUUUAGAAACCCAAGGGUGAUCCAUCUACAUUUCUAAAACCAGCUACAACUGUUUUAUCACCCUUCUUAAAGUUGUCUCUGUUCCGGUACUUCUAUCAGUGCAUUCGGGACAUUCAAAAAAGUGUUAUAAAGCAUACCUCUCCACCUGUUUCUCUCCUGGGAAAGUUGUUAUGGCACGGCUUUUUCUACACAGUUGCCUUCAGGACUCCUGAUUUUGAUCAAAUGAAGGGUAACAGAAUAUGCUAACAGGUGACAAGAGCAAUCAUCUUCAUUGAUUCGGAACAUGUAGGCAAGAUUCGAGCACAGUUAGCUGCCUGUAGUGUGCCGCUGGUAGGUGACUCAAUGUAUAUGCCUGCUGCAAUUGCUUAAAUGGUCAGUCCUGGGAACCAAUCCAUUUGGGAAGAACAAAAAACUAUAUACAAGCGAACAUUAAUGAUGAAUUGCAGCAUCAUUCAUCUGAUUCCUGCUACUAUCAUCAAAAGUCCAGUUUAUGAGAAAUGGAUGAGGAAAUUUGAUUUUGCGCAACAGAUUAUGGUUGAUGUAUGAGUAGUUAUGUUUAUUGUUUGAUCAGUGAACUUGGAAUUAUGUCUUGGUUUCAGUUUUAGCUUUAUGUCUGGUGUAUAUAGCCUUCUGAUAAAUAAUACAUGUUUAGUUAAAAAAAAUCUAUUACAAAUCUACAUUUUUGAAUUUUUAUUGA
Capsicum annuum is the source of this 3284-nucleotide long non-coding RNA. RefSeq lists it as uncharacterized. The record is from RefSeq and is a predicted model, not a curated record. NCBI's taxonomy places the organism in Eukaryota, Viridiplantae, Streptophyta, Magnoliopsida, Solanales, Solanaceae. The transcript has 7 exons.